GCAGUCGCCGCGGUAAUACAGAGGGUGCAAGCGUUAAUCGGAUUUACUGGGCGUAAAGCGUGCGUAGGCGGCUUUUUAAGUCGGAUGUGAAAUCCCUGAGCUUAACUUAGGAAUUGCAUUCGAUACUGGGAAGCUAGAGUAUGGGAGAGGAUGGUAGAAUUCCAGGUGUAGCGGUGAAAUGCGUAGAGAUCUGGAGGAAUACCGAUGGCGAAGGCAGCCAUCUGGCCUAAUACUGACGCUGAGGUACGAAAGCAUGGGGAGCAAACAGGAUUAGAUACCCCUGUAGUCCCUGUCUCUUAUAC
RNAcentral lists this ribosomal RNA (302 nucleotides) under uncultured bacterium. RNAcentral's name for it is "partial 16S ribosomal RNA". It matches the Rfam family "Bacterial small subunit ribosomal RNA", at positions 508 to 807 of the family's 1533-position model. The record is from RNAcentral.